RNAcentral lists this ribosomal RNA (468 nucleotides) under uncultured bacterium. RNAcentral's name for it is "partial 16S ribosomal RNA". It matches the Rfam family "Bacterial small subunit ribosomal RNA", at positions 28 to 507 of the family's 1533-position model. The record is from RNAcentral.
GACGAACGCUGGCGGCGUGCUUAACACAUGCAAGUCGAACGGAAAGGCCCUGCCUUUGUGGGCUGCUCGAGUGGCGAACGGGUGAGUAACACGUGAGUAACCUGCCCUUGACUUUGGGAUAACUUCAGGAAACUGGGGCUAAUACCGGAUAGGAGCUCCUGUUGCAUGGAGGGGGUUGGAAAGUUUCGGCGGUUGGGGUAGGAGUCGCGGCUUAUCAGCUUGUUGGUGGGGUAGUGGCUUACCAAGGCUUUGACGGGUAGCCGGCCUGAGAGGGUGACCGGCCACAGUGGGACUGAGAUACGGCCCAUACGCCUACGGGAGGCAGAGGUGGGGAAUAGUGCAAAAUGGGCGGGAGCCGGAUGCAGCAACGCCGCGUGCGGAAUGACGGCCUUCGGGUUGGAAACCGCUUUCGCCUGUGACGAAGAGUGAGUGACGGUAAUGGGUAAAAAAGCACCGGCUAACUACGUG